UCCCUGGUGGUCUAGUGGCUGAGACGCUGCACUCCCAAUGCAGGGGAUGGAGCUUCAAUUCCUAGUCAGGGAA
This is a transfer RNA of Ovis aries (sheep), 73 nucleotides long. It matches the Rfam family "tRNA". Rfam says of the family: Transfer RNA (tRNA) molecules are approximately 80 nucleotides in length. NCBI's taxonomy places the organism in Eukaryota, Metazoa, Chordata, Mammalia, Artiodactyla, Bovidae. The record is from Rfam.